RNAcentral lists this non-coding RNA (29 nucleotides) under Rattus norvegicus (Norway rat). The record is from RNAcentral. Lineage: Eukaryota; Metazoa; Chordata; Mammalia; Rodentia; Muridae.
UACAUAGGAGUUGACCUUAGAGAGAGAAG